This 71-nucleotide transfer RNA is filed under the name Phytophthora infestans (potato late blight agent). RNAcentral describes it as "tRNA-Val". Lineage: Eukaryota; Oomycota; Peronosporomycetes; Peronosporales; Peronosporaceae. The record is from RNAcentral.
GACAACAGCUCAGCGGUUGAACACUCGCUUCACAAGCGAAAGGUCGGUUGUUCGAUCCCACCAGGGCGUCA